GACGAACGCUGGCGGCGUGCCUAAUACAUGCAAGUAGGACGCAGUUGCGAUGGGUUGAGUAACGCGUAGGAAACUACAUAUUAGAGGGGGAUAAGUAUUGGAAACGAUAGCUAAUACAGCAUAGUAGUAGAUGGACGUGCGUUGUAUUAGCUAGUAGGUAGGGUAAUGGACUAACUAGGCAAAGAUACAUAACCGACUUGAGAGGGUGAUCGGCCACACUGGGACUGAGACACGGCUCAGACUCCUACGGGGAGCAGCAGUAGGGAAUCUUCGGCAAUGGGGGGAACGCUGACCGAGCAACUCCGCGGGAGUGAAGAAGGUUUUCGGAUCGUAAAGCUCUGUUGUUAAGGAAGCGGUACUUAACCAGAAAGGGACGGCUAACUACGUGCCAGCAGCCGCGGUAAUAC
RNAcentral lists this ribosomal RNA (407 nucleotides) under uncultured bacterium. Its description in RNAcentral is "partial 16S ribosomal RNA". It matches the Rfam family "Bacterial small subunit ribosomal RNA", at positions 28 to 526 of the family's 1533-position model. The record is from RNAcentral.